ACAGGACUUUUUUUUUCUUAACCUUUCAUUCAGUUUCAAGCUAUUGGCGAUUCUUGAGAGGUUUCCGGUUUUCCGUACAGCGGUUAUCUAAAGGAGGAGGUGAUAGCAUCUCCGGCUAGACGAGCCCAACCGGCUGCCGGUUCACGACUCUCCCAGAGCAGCUCCCUUUAAACCAGACGACGCAUUCCUUCCAAGCGCCAAAACUGAGCGAACCCAGAAGAGUGAGGAUUCUCCUGGAAUAAAAAAGUCCACAAUGCCGUUCAGGACUGGACUUCCUCUUCCUGUAACUUUUCUCUGCAGUCAUGAGUUUGGCUGAAACCAAGAGAAUCAGGCGGAUCAGGCUAAACUUGUCUGAGGCGCUGCUCCGUGUUUGUCCUUUUAACACCUGAAAUCCCAUCAACAGCUGAUGAAAGUCCCACAAAAGCAGCAGAACUUUCAGAAAAUUCCUGCUUUGUUCUCUGUGAGAACUUUCUGUUUAAUCUGUGCAGAUCCUCCUCCUCAUCCACCACCCCCUCCGUGGAGCAGAAUGUCGAAGAGGUGGAGAAACGACGAGGAAACCGGUCGAGCAGGUAUGGGGAGGCCUGUUGUCACCGUUAUUUCUGCGGCGCAUGCGCGCUACCCUCCAGUUUCCUGCUUUUUUUUUUUUUAAAUGAGUACCUGCGUUUGACCCACCUCUGCCCGUGACAGAUCAGGAAUAUCAGCUUUUUUCUCUCCUUUCCCCUCCUCCUCCUUCACCCACUCCCACUCCGUUAUUUCAGGGAUGAUCCACGGUUUGGCGUCGCUGCUCACCUGAGCUCGCUCACCUGUCGGAGUAACUUCCCCCCCCUCUCAGAGAAAAAGAGGGAAAAACAAAAAAAAAAAAGGAAGAGGAGCGGCACCUUUUUCAGUUUGCCUUCUUUGCCUCGCGAGCCUCACCUGCGUGGCUCCCGCGCCCGGAACCCUUUCCCCGCAGCGGAUCGGUUUUCACGCGCCCCAGAAUGCCGAGGGCCUUUCUGGUGAAGAAGGCGAACGUUUCGCCCGGAAAGCGGAACUGGAGCGAGCUCCCCGACCACGAGCGCGGGGACGUUUACAUCCCAGGUGAGUCUCGGCGCCGACGUCGCUUCCUUUCGUCCUUCCUCGCCGGCGGCGCGUUUUUACGCACGGAAAAAGUAGCGGGAAUCCGACCGUUUGGGGAUCCACGGGGGGGGGAACGUCGCAGGUGGAGGUGGUGGUAGUGAAGGGGGGGAGGGGGCUGUGAGGUAACGGGGCACGCGGAUAACGGGAAUCCCAGCGACCCACAAGGAGAGUCCAAACUUUUCAUUAUUUUAAGUUAAAGUCGCACAUGCGCAUUGGAAACACAAAGAUUUUUGCGUCAAAAUCAGAUAAUUUUUCACUUUAUUUGCUAAAAUAUAAACAAAACGUGGAGGAAAAAAACCGUUUUCCUUUUUUUAUGAUCUGCUCUUUGCCGCAAUUGCUUUUCUCCUCGACCUUCAACCCCUGAUUGCUGCGUCCUGCCCUGUUCCGCCGGGCUCCUCGUGCGCUGAUUAUCCUAUCACUGGGCUGGUCUACCUGGGAGGCCCGGAACACGGAACCAGCCGAUAUUUCCCAG
This is a long non-coding RNA of Oryzias javanicus (javanese ricefish), 1588 nucleotides long. NCBI's taxonomy places the organism in Eukaryota, Metazoa, Chordata, Actinopteri, Beloniformes, Adrianichthyidae. The record is from Ensembl.